GAUGAACGCUGGCGGCGUGCCUAAUACAUGCAAGUCGAGCGAACAGACGAGGCGCUUGCUCCUCUGACGUUAGCGGCGGACGGGUGAGUAACACGUGGAUACCCUACCUAUCAGACUGGGAUCACUUCGGGACACCGGCGCUAAUCCCGGAGAAUCUAUUGAACCGCAUGGUUCAAUAGUGAAAGACGGUUUUGCUGUCACUUAUAGCUGGAUCCGCGCCGCAUUGGCUAGUUGGUAAGGUAACGGCUUACCAAGGCAACGCUGCGUAGCCGACCUGAGAGGGGGGUCGGCCACACUGGAACGGAGACGGGGUCCAUACGCCUACGGGAGGCAGCAGUAGGGAAUCGUCCGCAAUGGGCGAAAGCCUGACGGAGCAACGCCGCGUGAGUGAUGAAGGUCUUCGGAUCGUAAAACUCUGUUAUUAGGGAAGAACAAAUGUGUAAGUAACUAUGCACUUCUUGACGGUACCGAGUCAGAAAGCCACGGCUAACUACGUG
Molecule: ribosomal RNA, 497 nt
Filed under: uncultured bacterium
Lineage: Bacteria
Description: partial 16S ribosomal RNA
Rfam family: Bacterial small subunit ribosomal RNA
Source: RNAcentral